UGGAGACGCUCCCCGCGGGCCUCGAGUCCUGCCUCCCGCACUGCGGUCCUGGGGAACCUGGAAAAGGCGCUUUCCCUCCUACGGAUGUCUUUCUUUUGUACACAGUUGGCGUUCUGUUUUGCUCGGAGCAUUUUUGGUAGCACCCCGAGGUUGGGUAACACCCAGGGCUUGGCCAACCCCAUCGUGCUCUUUUCUCCGCUUGUAACAUGUGUGACCACAAAGCCACCGCAGGCAUCACGUGGGUCGCUCAGCGGCUCGGACGCAGACACGCCUCUGGCUUCCCCUGGAGGGCGGGGCUUCGCCUUUACCCUUUCCUGCCGGUCACUGGCCGUCAGGACGAAAGGACUGGAGGAAAGAAGGAACUGCCCACUUCCUUUAAGAAGCUGUGAAGCAAAUGGCUCUUCCACCUUUAAAGUUUUCAGAAGGACUUUAUGCCCACUGUGGAUUGCCUGAAAAAUCCCAUGGACGGGGAAGCCUGGUGGGCUGCAGUCCGUGGGGUCGCUAAGAGUGGGACACGACUGAGAGACUUCACUUUCACUUUUCACUUUCAUUCAUUGGAGGAGGAAAUGGCAGCCCACUCCAGUGUUCUUGCCUGGAGAGUCCCAGGGACAGCGGGGCCUGGUGGGCUGCCGUCUAUGGGGUCGCACAGAGUCGGACACGACUGAAGCGACUUAACAGCAGCAGCAGCAGUGGAAAAACCAAAUACCACAAUACAGUUACAUCUCACGAUUUGUUAAUAUUUUGUUAAGUUUUUCCCUAAACAUCUGCUGCUAAGUCACUUCAGUCGUGUCCAAAACAUCUGCAGCCUUGGAAUAAUGUGAGUUUGGAUGGAGGGUGACGAGGAAUGGGCUGGUAUCCACUUUCCAGGCACCACCUUCGCGUUAGGACUCGGGGACCACAUGGACCCUACAGCUGACGCAGUUUGGAACUCUGGCCCCUACUCACAACAGGAAGGUUCAAAUGAGAUGAUAAAUUGUGGGAAGUUAGGAGGUUACUAAUCUGUCAUAAUACGGUUUAAAUGAGGUCUGUUUCCUACAUCCGUGCAGUGGUCUGUAACACAGGUUCCGUCCAGAAGCCACGGGAGAGGAAGGGGCAGGCAACGGGCAGAGUCCAAGCAGCCGUGUGCAUCCAGCAGGUAGGUGGCUGGUCGUCCUGUCCUGUAGGGGGAUGCUCAGCAGAUAGGUCAUCCCGUCUGUGUCCCAGGUGAUCAUCAGAGCCCAUGCCAGGCGCAGACAGGCUCAGAACCCAGAGGUAACACACCAGCUCCCCGCUGGCACCUGGGCACUGGCUGACCCCCGAGAGUGGGUGAUGACAGGACGCAGCACGUUGCUCGGGCGGGGCUGCCAGUUCACACCGCCACCUCUCACCAGCCCCUUUUCACGGAUGAGGCCACCUUGGCUCCAACACGUCAAGUCGUCAAAGUUCACAGAGUAAGUGGCGGAGCAAAGAUUCAACCUUGGGCCAAAUGGACCCCAAAGCAGAUGCUCUCAGCUACCAAGCCAC
This is a long non-coding RNA of Bos taurus (domestic cattle), 1503 nucleotides long. Lineage: Eukaryota; Metazoa; Chordata; Mammalia; Artiodactyla; Bovidae. The record is from Ensembl.